This is a long non-coding RNA of Helianthus annuus (common sunflower), 2096 nucleotides long. RefSeq lists it as uncharacterized. The record is from RefSeq and is a predicted model, not a curated record. The transcript has 3 exons. NCBI's taxonomy places the organism in Eukaryota, Viridiplantae, Streptophyta, Magnoliopsida, Asterales, Asteraceae.
CACACAGGGUGUGUGUCUGCGUACGAUCGCAGGAGAAGGGGAAAAAGGGGGUGUAAACCCUAACCACAAAAAAAUCAUCAAUUGAAAAGGAAAUCGCGGGUUGAUUGUGUGCAUGAACCAAGAAUGAUGAUCCCUUAAGCGUUUCUCACAUCAAAUAAUAGGAACGUGUCAAGGAGAGGUCAAGCAUAGGAGGAUAACGGGUCAAGAUAAGGCAAGGUGACAAAUACACUUAUUGGAGUACUCGAGGUAAGUGAAUUUCGAUUCACUUUUUAGUAGGUUUAAUAGAUUUUAAUACUUUUGUUUACGAAGCAUCAUGAAAGAACAUGUAAUAAUCAGAAGUACAAAGCCAAUAAUGCCUCAUUAUUGAAGAAGGUUGUAUUUAAGCCGAAAGUAAAUUGGUGGGUUUAAACGGGUCGAAUUUUAUGUGCAUAUGUUGCGUAAUGUAAUGAAAUUCGUUAUGGUUAAGACCUUGGGUAAGAAUUUUUAGUCAUUAUGUAAGGGGAACAUUUCCCGGACCAUUAGGAACAAGUUUUAUAUGAUUCGGUUGUCGGUUAGUGAAUGAACGGAUUGUUUCGUGUUAGUGUAGGAAAUUUUAUAAGUAUAUGUGUAUAGGAAUCCAAAGGGCACGUGGGUUGAAUCAUAGAUUGUCUAUACUAUGUAAAGUUGUGAAUGUGACAUUCCGACAUAAACCUACAUGUAAAAGAAGCUUGUGUAUAUAUUCGUGAUUAAUUGAUUGUGCGUAGGAAGGAACAUUGGCAUGUAUGAAGGUACGCAUGUAUAUAUAUAAGUGUAUAUAUAUAUAUAUGUAUGUAUGUAUGAUAAUAAGUACGUAGGUGUGAAUGUGUGUGUGAAUGAAUGUUCAAUGCUUAAGACAUAUGCAUGAACGUUAUCAAAGUGUUCGAGUAUUUAUGGAUACUAAUGAUGUGCGUUGAGUUGGAAUGUAAUGUAGGUAUGGGAUCGUUGGCUUCAUGAAGAAAUGGAGCUGGAUUUGGAUAAGAGUAUUUAAGAAAGCGCUUGGACAAUUCCACGACUACUUUAUAGAAUGCUCUACGAAAUUCUAUUAUAUAGUUUAAUGUUGUAUGGUAUGUUAAUGACUAAUGGUUUGGUUGUACGUGGUGUCCACAGGUAUCGCUUGGGUUUUCUCUACAUUUAUUGAAGUGAAGCGGACUUAGUUCGAGUUGAGAGCAAGGAUUGUACGGGGUAGAAUGGUCACAUAGUGUAACUCAUAUAGGUUUUGAAGUAUUAAUGUUAUAAAACGUUAUAAUCCGUUUUAAUGAAUAUAUGGCAUUUCGCAUUUGAACCUUCAUGUGUUUGAUAUGUCUAUUAAAGAACGAAAUUUUUGGGCUCUUGUUUUCCGCUGCGUCGUAUUUUAAGUUAUUACGCGUUAGUCUUACAGGGAAUUGUUCUUAUUACGAACGGGUCAUGCCCGAAUUUUGUUAAAUAAUAGUAUGAUAAUAUUACAUUUUGGAAUGUGUAAUUUGGGCGUAUCAAGUUGGUAUCAGAGCCCUGGUUUGAGGGAAAUCAAGUAUGAGGAGGCAAAUACUUGAACUCAAACCUGUGUGCUCUUGUGACGAGGAACCCGUACAAUCCAAGACUCGAUCAAGAUCUAAAGGUAGAAGCAAAUGUAAGUAUGAAUUUAAGUAUGUUUAUGAAGAAACUAACAUUAUGUUGUGUGUAAGAUAAGCAUAGUUGUUUGGAUGAGGAUGAUCCACGACUGUGGUCUCGGACUGACACCAAGGCAUGUAAUAAGACCAUUGCCCAGGUCAGUGAAAGAAUGUUCAUAAGCGAAAGCUCGUCACACGGAUGAACGAGGUCAAUACGAAACAUGGUAUGGAUGGGGACGAAGAGGACCGACUCGUUGCUGCAUGUCCACAGGUAUCGCUUGGGUUUUCUCUACAUUUAUUGAAGUGAAGCGGACUUAGUUCGAGUUGAGAGCAAGGAUUGUACGGGGUAGAAUGGUCACAUAGUGUAACUCAUAUAGGUUUUGAAGUAUUAAUGUUAUAAAACGUUAUAAUCCGUUUUAAUGAAUAUAUGGCAUUUCGCAUUUGAACCUUCAUGUGUUUGAUAUGUCUAUUAAAGAACGAAAUUUUUGGGCU